This 253-nucleotide ribosomal RNA is filed under the name uncultured bacterium. Its description in RNAcentral is "partial small subunit ribosomal RNA". It matches the Rfam family "Bacterial small subunit ribosomal RNA", at positions 26 to 285 of the family's 1533-position model. The record is from RNAcentral.
AGGACGAACGCUGGCGGCGUGCUUAACACAUGCAAGUCGAGCGGAAAGGCCCUUCGGGGUACUCGAGCGGCGAACGGGUGAGUAACACGUGAGUAAUCUGCCCCUAGCUCUGGGAUAGCUCCGGGAAACCGGGAUUAAUACCAGAUACGACCACUUUAGACAUCUGUUGUGGUGGAAAGAAUUUUGGCUAGGGAUGAGCUCGCGGCCUAUCAGCUUGUGGUGAGGUAACGCUCACCGAAGGCGACGACGGGUA